GCCUCUAUAGCUCAGUUGGCUAGAGCAGCUGAUUUGUAAUCAGCAGGUCGAGGGUUCGAGUCCCCCUGGAGGCU
RNAcentral lists this transfer RNA (74 nucleotides) under Escherichia coli. Its description in RNAcentral is "tRNA-Thr". It matches the Rfam family "tRNA". Rfam says of the family: Transfer RNA (tRNA) molecules are approximately 80 nucleotides in length. Their secondary structure includes four short double-helical elements and three loops (D, anti-codon, and T loops). RNAcentral also lists the same sequence under 4 other names. Lineage: Bacteria; Pseudomonadati; Pseudomonadota; Gammaproteobacteria; Enterobacterales; Enterobacteriaceae. The record is from RNAcentral.